UAGCUAAGUGGUAGAGUGCUUGCCUCACAUGCAUGAAGCCCUGGGUUCCAUCCCCAG
This 57-nucleotide transfer RNA is filed under the name Heterocephalus glaber (naked mole-rat). It matches the Rfam family "tRNA", at positions 8 to 63 of the family's 71-position model. From Rfam's summary of the family: Transfer RNA (tRNA) molecules are approximately 80 nucleotides in length. Their secondary structure includes four short double-helical elements and three loops (D, anti-codon, and T loops). The record is from Rfam by way of RNAcentral. Lineage: Eukaryota; Metazoa; Chordata; Mammalia; Rodentia; Bathyergidae.